RNAcentral lists this long non-coding RNA (209 nucleotides) under Vigna radiata. RNAcentral describes it as "long non-coding RNA (VRAD_LNC008396)". Lineage: Eukaryota; Viridiplantae; Streptophyta; Magnoliopsida; Fabales; Fabaceae. The record is from RNAcentral.
CAGGGUUCAUCACCAUAUUAGUUGUGUUGUCCUUGGGCACGGUUAUGCUAUUGAUGUAAAACGGGCCCACAACAUUUGAUGCAUCAGAAAGUGUGCGUCUGGGAGGAGGUUGUUGUUCUGAUGCCAUCUCAUCUGAUCUUUGCUCUAGUAAGGGUUGUAACAAUCUCUCAGGAGAAGCAAACAAUUCUAUAGAUGGACGUCUAACUCUC